GUUCCAGUGGUCUAGUGGUUAGAGCAUCUACCUUGGAUGCAGGAGGUCGCUGGUUCAAACCCCUGCUAAAACU
Non-coding RNA from Potamilus streckersoni, 73 nucleotides. The record is from the annotation of a GenBank genome assembly. Lineage: Eukaryota; Metazoa; Mollusca; Bivalvia; Unionida; Unionidae.